AUUGAACGCUGGCGGCAGGCCUAACACAUGCAAGUCGAGCGAGCGGCGGACGGGUUAGUAAUGUAUGGGGAUCUGCCCGAUGGAGGGGGAUAACUACUGGAAACGGUGGCUACUACCGCAUACUAUCGUCUGGUACCAUUUGGGAUGAGCUAGUAGGUGGGGUAAAGGCUACCCACGGCGACGAUCUCUAACUGGUCUGAGAGGAUGAUCAGUCACACUGGAACUGAGACACGGCCCAGACUCCUACGGGAGGCAGCAGUGGGGAAUAUUGGACAAUGGGCGCAAGCCUGAUGCAGCCAUGCCGCGUGUAUGAAGAAGGCCUUCGGGUUGUAAAGUACUUUCAGCGGGGAGGCGUUACCCGCAGAAGAAGCACCGGCUAACUCCGUGCCAGCAGCCGCGGUAAUAC
Molecule: ribosomal RNA, 406 nt
Filed under: uncultured bacterium
Lineage: Bacteria
Description: partial 16S ribosomal RNA
Rfam family: Bacterial small subunit ribosomal RNA
Source: RNAcentral